UGAGAAUUCAGAUUACUUUUAUUUUUCUGUACAGAAGAUGAAAUACAGAUAGGGAACAAACUUGGAUUUGGUCAUGGCUCUUACAGUAACAAAACCGGUAAGGUUUUCUAUUCUCUACCGCAAGUAAAA
Oxyura jamaicensis (ruddy duck) is the source of this 129-nucleotide long non-coding RNA. RefSeq lists it as uncharacterized. The record is from RefSeq and is a predicted model, not a curated record. Lineage: Eukaryota; Metazoa; Chordata; Aves; Anseriformes; Anatidae. The transcript has 3 exons.